This 2120-nucleotide long non-coding RNA is filed under the name Brassica napus (rape). Its description in RNAcentral is "long non-coding RNA (BNAP_LNC017896)". The record is from RNAcentral. Lineage: Eukaryota; Viridiplantae; Streptophyta; Magnoliopsida; Brassicales; Brassicaceae.
GACGGCGGAGAUCCGGCGGUGGCUUACCGGAAAGUUGGCCGGCGGCGACGGCGGAGCUGCGGCGGAGAACGGUGGUCCGGCGGCGGCGCUGCGGCGGAGAACGGUGUUCCGGCGGCGGCGCGUGUGUUUCACGCGCUCGCGCAGGCGAAUCUUCGGGAGGCGCGUGCGGCUUCGUCCGGGCUCCGUUCGAGGCGUGGUUGGUGUCUACGGCUUCGUCUCGACGAGAGGAACACGAUGAUGGUCUUGGAUGCACGACAUUCUCUACGGUUAGAGAGUUAUCGGCGAAUUACUAAACGGACGAAACUAAGCUUAACUGUAUGGCGGUUUCCGGCGAUUCUAAGCUGCAGCGAACGGUGGUGACGAGCUGAACGUGAUCACGGCACACGGUUGCUCCGGCGACGAGCUCAGGUGAGCUUUCUCUCUCUUUCUCUCUCUCUUUCUCUCUCUCUCUCUUUCUCUUUAAAGAAGUUGGGGAUGGUGGAGAUGGUGGAGAUGGUGGAGAUGGUGGGAGUGGUGGGGAUGGUGGAGAUGGUGGAGAUAGUGGGGAUAGUGGAGGUGGUGGGAGUAGUGGGUCAUUACAAUUCUCCCCCACUUAUAUGGAAUUCGUCCCCGAAUUCAUGUCAUAAGCUGACGAAACUGAUACACACCUGAGCAAUCCGUUCAACUGUGACAUCAUCAUCUAUAUGUCGAACCUAUGGCCGAAAUCCUGUUAGCUAGAGAGCGGAUGACAAUGAGUAACUCAUAGUCAAUAAAAAAAACAAUUGGAUUAGAAAGGAGUGAUACCGAACGGAAAGGUGCUAUUUAUUUAUUUAUAUUUUUUUUUUUAAAUUCCCAAAUCCCCGAAAAUAUUUUGAAAUCGUUUAAAACCGUCAAAACCGAAUAAAACCAGGUCUCCAAAAAUCGCCAUCCCGGGUCGGAGCCGGGACGGAACCCGCUCUGAUACUAAAUUGUGACACCCCUCACUUUCGAAAUAGUAAAAAUACUUCGAUAAAUACAAAUAUCUGAAAUAUCCAUAUAUAAAUAUUUGAAAGUCCACAUCCACGCAUGAAUUCCAUAAUAUAAAAUAAAAUCCGAAACAUAAGGUACGACAUAAACCGAGAAUCCAAAAUACGAAAUACCAUAACGAUAAAAGUCCAAAGGCCUAGAGGCCCGAUAACGAUAAAAUCGAUAAAACGUUAGAAGCCCAAAAGCCCAAUAGCACCGGUCCGAAAAAUCACUCCUGCUCAUCGGUCUCACCUGAAAGGGGGAAAUAAGGAGGGGUGAGCGACAGGGGAAUCGCCCAGUGAGGUAUGGGGGUAGUACUAAACUAGCUCGGGAUUUAACGGAGUAGCCCUCACCUUAGCAAUGAAGAGAAGUGGUAUAUAUGAACUCCAGCUGCUCAAAUGGACUCCAAAUCUGAAAUCAGAUCGAAAUUUCGAGUCAGAACGCCUUUCGAACGGUUUAAAACGGGUAUUUACGGAAAAGUCAACCCGCUGGUCAAAGAUUAAUUAUUUAAUUAAUUAAUUAAUUAAUUAAUUAAUUAUUUAAUUAAUUAAUCCGGUUUAUCCUAACCGAUUUCCAAUUGAUUUAAACCGACCGGUUUAGCCUAACCGAAUUGAAAUCAAUUCAAACCGGCUAACCAACCGGUUAACCGAGUCAACCGAGUUGACUCACCGGGUCGACUCGGCCGAGUUAGCGAGUCGCCGGCGAGUCACCGGUGUCGGUCACCGGCGGCGACGGCGGAGAUCCGGCGGUGGCUUACCGGAAAGUUGGCCGGCGGCGACGGCGGAGAACGGUGGUCCGGCGGCGGCGCUGCGGCGGAGGACGGUGGUCCGGCGGCGGCGCGUGGAACUCACGCGCGCGCAGAGGCGAAUCUUCGGGGGGCGCGUACGGCUUCGUCCAGGCUCCGAUCGCGACGCGGUUGGUGUCUACGGCUUCGUCUUGACGAGAGGAACACGAUGAUGGUCUUGGAUGCACGAGAUUCGCAACGGUUAGAGAGUUAUCGGCGAAUUACUAAACGGACGAAACUAAGAACUGUAUGGCGGUUUCCGGCGAUUCUAAGCUGCAGCGAACGGUGGUGACGAGCUCAACGUGAUCACGGCACACGGUUGCUCCAGCGACGAGCUCAGGUGAGCUUUCUC